RNAcentral lists this ribosomal RNA (468 nucleotides) under uncultured bacterium. Its description in RNAcentral is "partial 16S ribosomal RNA". It matches the Rfam family "Bacterial small subunit ribosomal RNA", at positions 28 to 507 of the family's 1533-position model. The record is from RNAcentral.
GACGAACGCUGGCGGCGUGCUUAACACAUGCAAGUCGAACGGAAAGGCCCUGCUUUUGUGGGGUGCUCGAGUGGCGAAAGGGUGAGUAAAACGGGAGUAACCUGCCCUUGACUUUGGGAUAACUUCAGGAAACUGGGGCUAAUACCGGAUAGGAGCUCCUGCUGCAUUGUGGGGGUUGGAAAGUUUCGGCGGUUGGGGAUGGACUCGCGGCUUAUCAGCUUGUUGGUGGGGUAGUGGCUUACCAAGGCUUUGAAGGGUAGCCGGCAUGAGAGGGUGACCGGCCACAAGGGGACUGAGAUACGGCCCAGACUCCUACGGGAGGCAGCAGUGGGGAAUAUUACACAAUGGGCGGAAGCCUGAUGCAGCAACGCCGCGUGCGGGAUGACGGCCUUCGGGUUGUAAACAGAUUUCGCCUGUGACGAAGCGUGAGUGACGGUAAUGGGUAAAGAAGCACCGGCUAACUACGUG